This 170-nucleotide long non-coding RNA is filed under the name Coturnix japonica (Japanese quail). RNAcentral's name for it is "lncRNA (ENSCJPG00005014914.1)". Lineage: Eukaryota; Metazoa; Chordata; Aves; Galliformes; Phasianidae. The record is from RNAcentral.
CAACGUAGUUUGACAGUGAGUUUCAGAAAUUUAUCUUCAAUUGUAUCUCCCUGCUUAAAUACAGAAAACACUGGCUAUCUAGGCUGAAUGGAAGACCGUGCACAUUCUCCUGGAAUGAACACCAGAUGAAAACGAUCAGAUUACCUUACAUGCACAGUUUCAGCAAGUGA